This 99-nucleotide non-coding RNA is filed under the name unclassified sequences. RNAcentral's name for it is "L2-Alphaproteobacteria ribosomal protein leader". It matches the Rfam family "L2-Alphaproteobacteria ribosomal protein leader". The record is from RNAcentral.
GGGGACCUUCGGGGCCCUUCACAUCACAGACAGCCGGGCCCAUACCCGGCGCAAACCAGAGAGCGGGCCCUUGGGUCCGACGCAAACGGAAGACAGAAA